Molecule: long non-coding RNA, 519 nt
Organism: Humulus lupulus (European hop)
Lineage: Eukaryota; Viridiplantae; Streptophyta; Magnoliopsida; Rosales; Cannabaceae
Exons: 3
Source: RefSeq, a predicted model, not a curated record
UUGCAGCAAUAUCUUCAUUUAAACAACAAGUGGAAGGUUUAUCAGACCUAGACCACUAGGUUGAGUUAUUGAUUCGUUUGCUGUGUGCUGUCCCUGGCUGGAGUGAGAAAAAUGUCCAGGUUCAGCAGCAGGUUAUUGAAGUUGUUACUUUCAUAGCCUCUUCGUCAACCAAAUUUCCUAAGAAGUGUGUAGUGCUUUGCCUUCUGGGUAUAAGUGAGCGUGUCGCUGACAUUAAGACUCGUGCUCAUGCCAUGAAGUGCCUUACUACUUUUUGUGAAGCUGUAGGUCCUGGAUUUAUUUUUGAAAGAGUAAGUCUUACAUUUAAAUCAUUUCUGUAGAGAAGUUUGUUUGCACUUCUCUUGUGAACUUCUGAAGCAGGGAUGAAACAUAUUAGGUUCUAAAUUGAUUGGAACUUGUAUUUCUUUUCUUUGAUUGCUUUUUUCAUUUUUUAUAAUCCAAUAAAAGUCAAGGAAUUAUGUGGUUAAUAUUGUUAAUGAUCUGAUAUAGCUAUGAGAUCUG